CCUGGAGGAAGGACGGCCGCUCCGGCCACAACCGGAGAGGAAAGUCCAGACAGCGUAGAGCAAGGUGUCCGGCGCAAGCCGGGGCCGACCCGCGAGGGUCGGACGGACAGGGCCACAGAGACGUAGCCCGUGCCCGUGAGGGUACGGGGGUGAAACGCGGUAACCCCCACCUGCUGCAACCUCGAGCAUGGCCGCCGACGCUGCUCGCCGAGGCCAGGGUAGAGGGCACCCGGGAAUACUGGGCUGGUCUUGAACGAGACCAGAGAUAGAUGGCCGUCGUCAACAGAAUCUGGCUUACAUUCCUCCAGGCACC
RNAcentral lists this RNase P RNA (313 nucleotides) under Chloroflexota bacterium. RNAcentral describes it as "Chloroflexi bacterium RNase P RNA component class A". It matches the Rfam family "Bacterial RNase P class A". From Rfam's summary of the family: Ribonuclease P (RNase P) is a ubiquitous endoribonuclease, found in archaea, bacteria and eukarya as well as chloroplasts and mitochondria. Its best characterised activity is the generation of mature 5'-ends of tRNAs by cleaving the 5'-leader elements of precursor-tRNAs. Cellular RNase Ps are ribonucleoproteins. The record is from RNAcentral. Lineage: Bacteria; Bacillati; Chloroflexota.